RNAcentral lists this ribosomal RNA (508 nucleotides) under uncultured bacterium. RNAcentral's name for it is "partial 16S ribosomal RNA". It matches the Rfam family "Bacterial small subunit ribosomal RNA", at positions 30 to 523 of the family's 1533-position model. The record is from RNAcentral.
AUUGAACACUGGCGGCAGGCCUAACACAUGCAAGUCGAGCGGCAGCGGGAAAGUAGCUUGCUACUUUUGCCGGCGAGCGGCGGACGGGUGAGUAAUGCCUGGGAAAUUGCCCAGUCGAGGGGGAUAACAGUUGGAAACGACUGCUAAUACCGCAUACGCCCUACGGGGGAAAGCAGGGGACCUUCGGGCCUUGCGCGAUUGGAUAUGCCCAGGUGGGAUUAGCUAGUUGGUGAGGUAAUGGCUCACCAAGGCGACGAUCCCUAGCUGGUCUGAGAGGAUGAUCAGCCACACUGGAACUGAGACACGGUCCAGACCCCUACGGGAGGCAGCAGUGGGGAAUAUUGCACAAUGGGGGAAACCCUGAUGCAGCCAUGCCGCGUGUGUGAAGAAGGCCUUCGGGUUGUAAAGCACUUUCAGCGAGGAGGAAAAGUUGAUGCCUAAUACGUAUCAACUGUGACGUUACUCGCAGAAGAAGCACCGGCUAACUCCGUGCCAGCCGCCGCCGUAA